AUACUUACCUGGCAGGGGAGACACCACGAUCAGGAAGGUGGUUUUCCCAGAGCGAGGCUCAUCUGUUGCCCUGCUGACCCCUGCGAUUUCCCUAAAUGCGGGAAACUACUGCAAAAGCUGUGGUAGUGGGGACUGUGUUCGCGCUCUCCCCUG
RNAcentral lists this small nuclear RNA (153 nucleotides) under Nannospalax galili (Upper Galilee mountains blind mole rat). Its description in RNAcentral is "U1 spliceosomal RNA (ENSNGAG00000005773.1)". It matches the Rfam family "U1 spliceosomal RNA". Rfam says of the family: U1 is a small nuclear RNA (snRNA) component of the spliceosome (involved in pre-mRNA splicing). Its 5' end forms complementary base pairs with the 5' splice junction, thus defining the 5' donor site of an intron. There are significant differences in sequence and secondary structure between metazoan and yeast U1 snRNAs, the latter being much longer (568 nucleotides as compared to 164 nucleotides in human). The record is from Rfam by way of RNAcentral. Lineage: Eukaryota; Metazoa; Chordata; Mammalia; Rodentia; Spalacidae.